GGUUGUUUUCUUUUGUUGAAAGGUUGGUCCAGGAGGGUUGGUUUUCUUUUCUUCCAACAACAAGAAACUCAAACCCAACACUCAAAAUGAAACAUACUUAGGGCAUCCUGUUAGGGAUAAAACACGAGAUUCAACUUCUAAUGCAAAUCACACACAAAACAAUAUAUUUGACGUGGAAAACCCAUGUCCCAACUUGUAUUAUUAAUCAAAACCGUUAUCAAUAAUACAACCAAACCAACUUAAAUAAUCAAGCCUACUACUCAAGUAUCCGCCCGCAAGCGAUACCUAAGUCUACAUCUUGAGCACACCUUUCAAACACAAUAUGACUAUGUAUAUAUAGCCAUCUCAAACUAGACGAAUCAGAAUCUAAUUCUAAAACAGCUACACAUAGUCCUAAUCCAAUUCUGAUUUCCAACUCAAAUCAGAAUCCAAUUCCAACUAGUUCUUCUAUCUUUGUGACCAAGACAUAUCUUAUAAUAAUUGUCUAAACAUACAAUUAUUAUCCUUAUAUAUUUUGGAUCACCAAAGUCUAUGUUACCUUGUAAUGGGCUGAUACCUAACAAUCCUCCCCUUCAGCCCAAUACAAUCAACAAUCACGAUUAAGACAUCGACGUCCAUCCGCCAAUGCCUCCCCUCGAACAAGAAUCUCCAUUUCUCGUUCUUCCAAAUUUUAUCCAUCUACAAAAUCACGUGCAUCAACCCCGAGUGCUCUUCCAUCCAUGAGUCACCCGAUCCUUGCUUUCACAAUCCUCCGGCCUCUAGAAGAACCAUCCAAUCUUCUUCCAUAUUGAGUCCAUCAUUAUUGAUCCACGGUGCAAGUCAACCGUCAAACCGCACGUAACUUUGUCUCUUCCUGCUAACAAAACCUACAUCGUACUCUGCAUUCUCAAUUGAAUCCCGAAUUUUCCUCCAACCUCGUCUAUCAUGAUCUCGACCUCAGCUCUUGAUACCACUUGUUGGGGAUAAAACACGAGAUUCAACUUCUAAUGCAAAUCACACACAAAACAAUAUAUUUGACAUGGAAAACCCACGUCCCAACUUGUAUUAUUAAUUAAAACCGUUAUCAAUAAUACAACCAAACCAACUUGGAUACUCAAGCCUACUACUCAAGUAUCCGUCCGCGAGCGAUACCUAAGUCUACAUCUUGAGCACACCUUUCAAACAAAAUAUGACUAUGUAUAUAUAGCCAUCUCAAACUAGACGAAUCAGAAUUUAAUUCUAAAACAGCUACACAUAGUCCUAAUCCAAUUCUGAUUUCCAACUCAAAUUAGAAUCCAAUUCCAACUAGGUCUUCUAUCUUUUGUGACCAAGACAUAUCUUAUAAUAAUUGUCUAAACAUACAAUUAUUAUCCUUAUAUAUUUUGGAUCACCAAAGUCCAUGUUACCUUGUAAUGGGCUGAUACCUAACACAUCCUAUCUUUAGAAACCCUAACCUUAACUCAAACCCUAAACCUAACCAAAUCCCUUUUGCUAGACCAAUUGAUCUCAACCAAAAACUACCCUACCCUCACUCCUCAUCCUAAAUGACCUUUCAACAAAAGAAAACCAACCCUGCUGGACCUAGAAAAUCCAAGUUAGUUAAUCUAUCCAAUGUAGAAAAACUAAGAAAAAUGCUUAUGUCUUGUCAACAUGGGUUAAUGGUGUCUCUCCCUCAACAAGGUCUUGUUCAUUGCUUGAUUAUGAAUGCUAAGUGGGAUAACCUUGUGUUUUAUAGGGGUCAAAACUUUCACACUUAUAUCAUGGGUGAGUUUUAUGGUAACCUUAUCACUACCUCUAAUAAGGGAAUAUAUGAGAUAGACACUUUCGUUCAUGAUAGGCAUGUACAUGAUGUGAAUGUGUUGUGCAAGGCUUUAAGAAUUGACCCUAAUUUGUUUCCACA
This 1879-nucleotide long non-coding RNA is filed under the name Daucus carota (carrot). RNAcentral's name for it is "long non-coding RNA (DCAR_LNC001348)". Lineage: Eukaryota; Viridiplantae; Streptophyta; Magnoliopsida; Apiales; Apiaceae. The record is from RNAcentral.